This 443-nucleotide ribosomal RNA is filed under the name uncultured bacterium. RNAcentral's name for it is "partial 16S ribosomal RNA". It matches the Rfam family "Bacterial small subunit ribosomal RNA", at positions 338 to 795 of the family's 1533-position model. The record is from RNAcentral.
CCUACGGGAGGCAGCAGUGGGGAAUAUUGGGCAAUGGGCGCAAGCCUGACCCAGCAACGCCGCGUGAAGGAAGAAGGCCUUCGGGUUGUAAACUUCUUUUCUCAGGGACGAAGACAGUGACGGUACCUGAGGAAUAAGCCACGGCUAACUACGUGCCAGCAGCCGCGGUAAUACGUAGGUGGCAAGCGUUAUACGGAAUGACUGGGUGUAAAGGGGGUGUAGGCGGGGAAGCAAGUCCGAGGUGAAAACCACGGGCUCAACCUGUGGUCUGCAUUUGAGACUGUUAUUCUUGAGUACUGGAGAGGCAGGCGGAAUUCCUAGUGUAGCGGUGAAAUGCGUAGAUAUUAGGAGGAACACCAGUGGCGAAGGCGGUCUGCUGGACAGCAACUGACGCUGAGGCGCGAAAGCGUGGGGAGCAAACAGGAUUAGAUACCCUAGUAGUC